RNAcentral lists this long non-coding RNA (533 nucleotides) under Bos taurus (domestic cattle). RNAcentral's name for it is "long non-coding RNA NONBTAT005903". Lineage: Eukaryota; Metazoa; Chordata; Mammalia; Artiodactyla; Bovidae. The record is from RNAcentral.
AAUUAGUGCUCGGUUGAAUUGGAUUCAGCCGUGAGUAUCAGCCACAGGAGCCUUGCUAAAGUGUGCAAGGAAAUUUUAUUUCUAAAGCUAAAGCUUAUUUAGUCUUUUCAGAUGCUCUUCUUGGUAUAAGGACAUUCUGGGAUCUGUUUGGUAAUAGCAUUGUGAUGCUUGCUAUUCAACAUGUGCUUUGUUUUAUCAACAUUCAAGUAACAUUUCUUUUCGAAGUGUUGCGAUUAUAAGUUAAAAUAAACAUCGGAGUAUUCUUAUAAUAAAAUCUGAGUUGAAACGCUUGGUUUCUAAAUCUGUCACUAAGAAAGGAAGUAUUCUUUCGCUGCAUUACCAUGGCAGUGUUGUAGACAUGACCCUGUAGUUUACCCAGCCUGAGAAUAUUUUGAUAUAUAACAAGAAACCAUGUUUUAUACCAAAAAAAAGAUAUAAAGAGAGGCUGAAGUUUUUCCUUCGUAAUGUUUAUUUUUAACCUCUGUUUUACUCUAUUAAAAAGACUCGUGUUCAUAGUAGAAAGCGCAGUGACA